This 437-nucleotide ribosomal RNA is filed under the name uncultured bacterium. RNAcentral describes it as "partial 16S ribosomal RNA". It matches the Rfam family "Bacterial small subunit ribosomal RNA", at positions 29 to 507 of the family's 1533-position model. The record is from RNAcentral.
AGCGAACGCUGGCGGCAGGCUUAACACAUGCAAGUCGAGCGGGCAUCCUUGUGGUGUCAGCGGCAGACGGGUGAGUAACGCGUGGGAACGUGCCCUUCGGUUCGGAAUAACUCAGGGAAACUUGAGCUAAUACCGGAUACGUGCGAGAGCAGAAAGGUUUAUCUGCCGAAGGAUCGGCCCGCGUCUGAUUAGCUAGUUGGUGAGGUUAUGGCUCACCAAGGCGACGAUCAGUAGCUGGUCUGAGAGGAUGAUCAGCCACACUGGGACUGAGACACGGCCCAGACUCCUACGGGAGGCAGCAGUGGGGAAUAUUGGACAAUGGGGGCAACCCUGAUCCAGCCAUGCCGCGUGAGUGAUGACGGCCUUAGGGUUGUAAAGCUCUUUUUUCCGGGACGAUAAUGACGGUACCGGAGGAAUAAGCCCCGGCUAACUUCGUG